CCUACGGGGCGCUGCAGUGAGGAAUAUUGGUCAAUGGACGAGAGUCUGAACCAGCCAAGUAGCGUGAAGGAUGACUGCCCUAUGGGUUGUAAACUUCUUUUAUAUGGGAAUAAAAUGUUCCACGUGUGGGAUUUUGUAUGUACCAUAUGAAUAAGGAUCGGCUAACUCCGUGCCAGCAGCCGCGGUAAUACGGAGGAUCCGAGCGUUAUCCGGAUUUAUUGGGUUUAAAGGGAGCGUAGGUGGAUUGUUAAGUCAGUUGUGAAAGUUUGCGGCUCAACCGUAAAAUUGCAGUUGAAACUGGCAGUCUUGAGUACAGUAGAGGUGGGCGGAUUUCGUGGUGUAGCGGUGAAAUGCUUAGAUAUCACGAAGAACUCCGAUUGCGAAGGCAGUUCACUGGACUGCAACUGACACUGAGGCUCGAAAGUGUGGGUAUCAAACAGGAUUAGAUACCCUUGUAGUC
Molecule: ribosomal RNA, 460 nt
Filed under: uncultured bacterium
Lineage: Bacteria
Description: partial 16S ribosomal RNA
Rfam family: Bacterial small subunit ribosomal RNA
Source: RNAcentral